RNAcentral lists this ribosomal RNA (497 nucleotides) under uncultured bacterium. RNAcentral's name for it is "partial 16S ribosomal RNA". It matches the Rfam family "Bacterial small subunit ribosomal RNA", at positions 28 to 507 of the family's 1533-position model. The record is from RNAcentral.
GAUGAACGCUGGCGGCGUGCCUAAUACAUGCAAGUCGAGCGAACGGACGAGAAGCUUGCUUCUCUGAUGUUAGCGGCGGACGGGUGAGUAACACAUGGAUAACCUACCUAUAAGACUGGGAUAACUUCGGGAAACCGGAGCUAAUACCGGAUAAUAUUUUGAACCGCAUGGUUCAAAAGUGAAAGACGGUCUUGCUGUCACUUAUAGAUGGAUCCGCGCUGCAUUAGCUAGUUGGUAAGGUAACGGCUUACCAAGGCAACGAUGCAUAGCCGACCUGAGAGGGUGGUCGGCCACACUGGAACUGAGACACGGUCCAGACUCCUACGGGAGGCAGCAGUAGGGAAUCUUCCGCAAUGGGCGAAAGCCUGACGGAGCAACGCCGCGUGAGUGAUGAAGGUCUUCGGAUCGUAAAACUCUGUUAUUAGGGAAGAACAUAUGUGUAAGUAACUGUGCACAUCUUGACGGUACCUAAUCAGAAAGCCACGGCUAACUACGUG